AAUAUUGCACACUGGAGGCAACUCUGAUGCAGCGACGCCGCGUGAGCGAUGAAAGCCUUCGGUUCGUCAAGCUCUGUCCUACGGGACGAUAACGACGGUACCAUAGGAGGAACCCACGGCUAACUACGUUCCAGCAGCCGCGGUAAUACGUAGGGGGCGAGCGUUGUCCGGAAUUACUGGGCGUAAAGGGUACGCAGGCGGCCAUGUAAGUCAGAUGUGAAAGGUCACGGCUCAACCGUGGUAAGCAUUUGAAACUGUGUGGCUUGAGUUAAGGAGAGGAGAGUGGAAUUCCUGGUGUAGCGGUGAAAUGCGUAGAUAUCAGGAGGAAUACCAGUGGCGAGGGCGACUUUCUGGACUUAAACUGACGCUGAGGUACGAAAGCGUGGGGAGCAAACA
RNAcentral lists this ribosomal RNA (396 nucleotides) under uncultured bacterium. RNAcentral describes it as "partial 16S ribosomal RNA". It matches the Rfam family "Bacterial small subunit ribosomal RNA", at positions 360 to 774 of the family's 1533-position model. The record is from RNAcentral.